GAUGAAGAACGGAGCGAAAUGCGAUAAGUAAUGUGAAUUGCAGAAUUCAGUGAAUCAUCGAAUCUUUGAACGCACCUUGCGCUCCUUGGUAUUCCGAGGAGCAUGCCUGUUUGAGUGUCAUUAAUAUAUCAACCUUCUCUUUUUUGAGUUGUUUGGAUGUGGGGGUUUGCUGGCCUCUUAAAUGAUUCAGCUCCCCUGAAAUGCAUUAGCAGAACAACCUGUUCAUUAGCGUGAUAAUUAUCUAUGCUAUUGAAUGUGAGGGCAGUUCAGCUUUCUAACCGUCCUUGGACAAUUCAUCAUUAAUGUGACCUCAAAUCAGGUAGGACUACCCGCUGAACUUAAGCAUAUCAAUAAGCGGAGGA
This 362-nucleotide unclassified non-coding RNA is filed under the name soil metagenome. RNAcentral describes it as "partial contains 5.8S ribosomal RNA, internal transcribed spacer 2, and large subunit ribosomal RNA". The stretch from base 1 to 120 matches the Rfam family "5.8S ribosomal RNA", at positions 35 to 154 of the family's 154-position model. The record is from RNAcentral.